UGAGGAAUAUUGGUCAAUGGGCGUGAGCCUGAACCAGCCAAGUCGCGUGAGGGAAGACUGCCCUACGGGUUGUAAACCUCUUUUGUCGGGGAGCAAAGGUCUCACGUGUGAGACUUUGAGAGUACCCGAAGAAAAAGCAUCGGCUAACUCCGUGCCAGCAGCCGCGGUAAUACGGAGGAUGCGAGCGUUAUCCGGAUUUAUUGGGUUUAAAGGGUGCGCAGGCGGAAAGUGCAAGUCAGCGGUCAAACGACGGGGCUCAACCCCGUUUCGCCGUUGAAACUGUCUUUCUAGAGUGAGCGAGAAGUAUGCGGAAUGCGUGGUGUAGCGGUGAAAUGCAUAGAUAUCACGCAGAACUCCGAUUGCGAAGGCAGCAUACCGGCGCUCAACUGACGCUCAUGCACGAAAGCGUGGGUAUCGAACAGG
RNAcentral lists this ribosomal RNA (423 nucleotides) under uncultured bacterium. RNAcentral's name for it is "bacterial SSU rRNA". It matches the Rfam family "Bacterial small subunit ribosomal RNA", at positions 355 to 776 of the family's 1533-position model. The record is from RNAcentral.